This 492-nucleotide ribosomal RNA is filed under the name uncultured bacterium. RNAcentral's name for it is "partial 16S ribosomal RNA". It matches the Rfam family "Bacterial small subunit ribosomal RNA", at positions 29 to 507 of the family's 1533-position model. The record is from RNAcentral.
AGUGAACGCUGGCGGUAGGCCUAACACAUGCAAGUCGAACGGCAGCACAGUAAGAGCUUGCUCUUACGGGUGGCGAGUGGCGGACGGGUGAGGUAUACAUCGGAAUCUACUUUUUCGUGGGGGAUAACGUAGGGGAACUUACGCUAAUACCGCAUACGACCUAGGGGUGAAAGCAGGGGAUCUUCGGACCUUGCGCGAUUGAAUUAGCCGAUGUCGGAUUAGCUAGUUGGCGGGGUAAAGGCCCACCAAUGCUACGAUCCGUAGCUGGUCUGAGAGGAUGAUCAGCCACACUGGAACUGAGACACGGUCCAGAGUCCUACGGGAGGCAGCAGUGGGGAAUAUUGGACAAUGGGCGCAAGCCUGAUCCAGCCAUACCGCGUGGGUGAAGAAGGCCUUCGGGUUGUAAAGACCUUUUGUUGGGAAAGAAAAGCAGCCGGUUAAUACCCCGCUGUUCUGACGGUACCCAAAGAAUAAGCACCGGCUAACUUCGUG